Molecule: long non-coding RNA, 472 nt
Filed under: Gorilla gorilla gorilla (western lowland gorilla)
Lineage: Eukaryota; Metazoa; Chordata; Mammalia; Primates; Hominidae
Description: lncRNA (ENSGGOG00000044228.1)
Source: RNAcentral
GGGACAUGGAUUUGGGGCUCUGCAAAGAGGGGAGCUGAAUGUGAGACUGUUGAAUAAAGUGAGGUCUCUCAAAGGGAACAGAAGCAGAAAGGUUUCCCACUAGCACAGAUGAGUCUGGGCUCUCGAAGUCAGCCAGAAAAGCUCCUAUGAAACCCAAGAGAGCUCCUACACAGAGAAGGAGAAGCAAGCACUUAAGCUAGCAGUUAUUGCCUGCAAGUUGGUCACCAUGGAAACAACAACACAAGAAAAUCUCCCUCCACUACCUCAUUCUUUAAUAUCUGAAAUUUUAAAUUUACAAAAUUAAGAUACAAAGAAUCAAUCAUGAAGUUGAAGUUUACACGAGUGCUUUCUGCUGUUGCAUGUUGCUCAAGGUACAGUAAAACCUUAACAUUGGGUUGACGACUGUAACUUUAAAAAGUCUAUUUCCAUGCAUUUUCUUACUGAAUCUCUGUGAAAUAGCCAUCACUGGCAU